CCAUCUCAAUUUUACUUUCUCAUGCAAUAAGAAGGAACAGAACAAGCAAUUUAUUUAAACUUAAAGAGAAAAAAAAUUUUGUGCACAAUUUGCAUGCUAAUAUGCAGCACCAAGUGAAAGAACAUGAAAUCUAAUGAGAGAUCGAUUGAUUCAUUUCAAUUUUUCAUGGCCAAGAAUUAGCCCUCAGAACAAUUACAAGGAGAGACAGUGAGGAAAUUAUUAACACAAAUUACCAGUAGAGACAAGAUGAUUCAACAAGGCUUCAAACCGCAAUGGAACACCUUGAACUCGCACUUGGGUGAAAUCAUCUGCAAAAGCAACCUUGCCGUGUACUCCUGUCUCACCACAGCCCCUUCUUUCUCCACCAAUGCAGCAGCCACGAUCUUCUCAUACCCAUCACCGCUUCCGCCCACCAAAUAUGCCACAAGAGCAGCCUGUACAGGCCCCAGGCUUGGAUUAUAAGCAGCAGACUCCAUGUACGACCCUCUAUAGACCUUCCCUUCACAAUCCAUCAACGCCACCCCGGAUGGGCAAUUACUAUACGGGGCAUGUGAUUUGUUGGCGGCCUCUAAAGCCUCAUAUUUCAAAUCAUCGCAAACACGACUAUUAAUCCCAUUUGGGAUGUUACUAUUAGAAUCGCUUAGAAAGGACAAGUGAUUAUGAUGUGGUUCUAAAGCUAAAGCAACAUUCUUAUCCAAAAGGUCAUCUGGCCCGAAUCUGUGCGGUAGAAAGUGGGACAAAGACUCAUAUUUAUUAGCAUCUCCAUUCUCAGCCACACCACCGCAAUUAUUACUGUUACUAUCGUCUGUGAUGAGGAUCUGGAUAUCGGGGGCGUUGCGAAUUUCCUGGAAAAACUGACGGCAGUGGCCACAGGGAGCGGCGGAGACGGCCAAGUAGUUGAGGCCGGGUUCAGCAUUGAGACUGAGAUUGGUGAUGAGGAAUUGUUCGGCGUGAACGGAUUGGUGGAGAGGCAGGCCCGGGAACUCGAGGUUGGCUCCAAAGAAGAUGCGGCCGGAGGAUCCAAGGCCCACCGCACCGACGUAGUAGUUGGAUAUGGGCGAGAGGGCCAAGGACCGGGCCUCUUUAACUAAGGUAGGGAGGAGCUGGAGGACAGUAAGGCCUGAUUGUUUCGCCAUUGAUUCGGCUUCGGAUGCUUCGAUUACGAAUCUACGCUGCUCCAUUUUUGCAGUGGGAUUGCUUGGGAUCGGAGAUUUAGAUCAGGGAAUAAACAAAUAAUUUAGCAGGGGAGAGAGCCUACCCGGAAACGAGGAGGAAGGUUUAGGGGCUGUGGGGGGAGAGAGAGAGAGAG
This 1309-nucleotide unclassified non-coding RNA is filed under the name Hevea brasiliensis (rubber tree). The record is from RNAcentral. Lineage: Eukaryota; Viridiplantae; Streptophyta; Magnoliopsida; Malpighiales; Euphorbiaceae.